UACGUAGGGUCCGAGCGUUGUCCGGAAUUACUGGGCGUAAAGCGCGCGUAGGCGGUUUGUUAAGUCAGCUGUGAAAGCCCCGGGCUCAACCUGGGAACUGCAGUUGAUACUGGCCGACUGGAGUGCGAGAGAGGGAGGUAGAAUUCCAUGUGUAGCGGUGAAAUGCGUAGAUAUAUGGAGGAAUACCGGUGGCGAAGGCGGCCUCCUGGCUCGACACUGACGCUGAGGUGCGAAAGCGUGGGGAUCAAACAGG
Molecule: ribosomal RNA, 253 nt
Filed under: uncultured bacterium
Lineage: Bacteria
Description: partial 16S ribosomal RNA
Rfam family: Bacterial small subunit ribosomal RNA
Source: RNAcentral